Molecule: ribosomal RNA, 375 nt
Filed under: uncultured Campylobacterota bacterium
Lineage: Bacteria; Pseudomonadati; Campylobacterota
Description: bacterial SSU rRNA
Rfam family: Bacterial small subunit ribosomal RNA
Source: RNAcentral
AGUGAACGCUGGCGGCGUGCUUAACACAUGCAAGUCGAACGAUGAAGCUCUUGCUUGCAAGAGUGGAUUAGUGGCGCACGGGUGAGUAAUGUAUAGCUAACCUGCCCCUUCAGAGGGGGACAACAGUUGGAAACGACUGCUAAUACCCCAUACUCCUUUCUAUCAUAAGGUAGAUUGGGAAAACUCCGGUGCUGAAGGAUGGGGCUGUAUGGUAUCAGCUAGUUGGUGGGGUAAUGGCCUACCAAGGCAAUGACGCCUAGCUGGUCUGAGAGGAUGAUCAGCCACACUGGAACUGAGACACGGUCCAGACUCCUACGGGAGGCAGCAGUGGGGAAUAUUGCACAAGUGGGGGAAACCCUGAUGCAGCAACGCCGC